CGCAGUGCCUCGGCGCGAGGCUCGGCCAGGCUCGCCCGGAGUCAGCCACGGCGGCCGGCUAAGGCUGCGCCGCGAGUGACAGGCUCUGGCGCGAGAGAAUGACCCCGCAGGGUACCUGAGCCGAAAUGAAUCCCUCAUACACGGUUUUCUCCCGGUUCUGAGGAAGCAGCAGCGGGAAGUGGCGCAACAGGGCCUGAAAAUUCUUGUGCCUCAAGCAAACGUUCCUCAGGUUGCCAAUGAAGAAUAGGCACCUAAGUCAUUUCGCAUGGACAGGAAUACCUUUGAGACAUGUCUGCUCCUGCAGCACCAAUCCACUUCAGAGAAGAUGAUGGACAUUGAAGAAACUCCAUGUGGAGUUUACUAUCACUGUGACAAAAGUUAGCCACUGGGCGAGAAAGUGCCCUUGCCUCGAUUGCUGACAGUAUGUUGUCCAAAAUGGACAAGAAGGACACAAAAAAAGUGACUGCUGAACCUUGCCAAGAUAAGGUAUUAAGGGCCUGCUGGAACGAGCAUCUUAUGAUCCUUUCUAAAAGAAGAUCAAAGGAUUGGGGUAUGACCUGCUGCAGAGGAGGAGAGAGGAGAAAUCAAAGAGCCCCCUGAUUUUUCAAAUGCCAUGACUCCAUGUUUAGGGUAGUAAAGCCUAGAACUUGUCCAAUUUAUGUUGCUUCCCUCCUGCUGAAGACCCAACCCUGUGCUUGAGAUUUCAGAACUUUCUGUCUGUUCUAAGACUGAAUUUCCUUUUGUUAUCCAUGUAUUUUAUUUUCAACUGAUUUUCUUACCAUCUUAGUCACUGUUCUACUGCUAUGAAGAAAUACCAUGACCAAGGCAACUCUGAAAGCAUUUAAAUGGGGACUUACUUACAGUUUCAGAAGCUCAGUCAGUCCAUAAUCAUCAAGGUAGGAAGCAUGGUGGCAUGCAUGGUGCUAGAGCAAUGGCUAAGAGCUUUACAUUCUGAUGCAAAGGCAGAGAGAGGGAGAGAGACUGGCCUGCCAUAAGCUUUGGAAACCUCAAAGCCCACCCCCAGUGACAUACUUCCUCCAAGAAGGUCACACCUACUCCAACAAGGCCACACCCCUAAUCCUUCCAAGCAGUGCCACUUGCUGGUGACUAAGUAUUCAAAUAUAUGAAGCUAUGGGGGCCUCAUUCUCAUUCCAGCCACCGACUACACUCACCCUCUCCACAGGUUUGGCCACCCCCAAGUCUUAAAUAAACACUUCUGCUCCCCGUCCCCAUCCUUUCCCUUUUCAGCUUCCACCACUGUCCCUUGUGCUAAAUUAGUUUGAUCAGAGGGAGCACGUUGCUCCCUCUGUAGCUCUCCAGUAUUCAGGCUUCCUGUAGUCCCUUUGGAGGGCUUGGUUACCUUCAGAUGCCAAGUCGAGUUGUCAUGCUUUGCCUCUUAUCUUCUUGGGUUGUUUGACACUAUUGACAUUGUCUUAAACUCUCUCUUCUGUUGGUUGACGUUUCCUGUUGCUUCCUUCUUGUCUGUCAUCUCUGUACAUUUCUGUGUUUAUGAUUCUUUCCACAGUGACACCCCAAGAAGUUUUUCACUUACUAAUCUCUUUUCACUUUGUAAAUUCUGUAAAUGUCUAGCAAUUUCAUCAUUUUUCAUGAUUUUGAGUGUUAUUUAAACUAACAAACUCAGUGAAUAUUCCUCUCCUCUUUAGGUAUUCAACUACCUACCUACAAUAUCCCUUUAGAUGUCCUGUAAUAACCUUAUUUGUAUCUUAUCUGAAUGAAGCACAUCUCUACCCACCUCUCCUUGUGUUUCACAUUUUUCUCUCCUGUGAAUUCAGUGAUGGUGGUGCAUCUAAACACAGUCUGUCACUCCUCUGCUUAAACACUUUUUGGCACUUUACCACCUGAAGGUAGAACUUUCUGUUGGUGUGAUGAAGGACCUGGCUCUUCCUUACCUAUCUCUCUAGCCUCACCUCCACACUCACCCAACUUCAUGGUUUAAGAUUUAGAAAACCCAAACUAUUUACACUCUUCCAAAAUCUCUAUUUUGUGAUGGGCAUCUUUGCCCAUGCUAUAUCUGUCUGAAAUACUAGUAAAAACUAUUGGGAAUAUACUAUCUGGCUCUCAUUCAUCUUUCAAAACUCAUUCCAAACAACACCGUCUCUAGACUUUAUCAACCAAUAACUGCGGAAACAGGAGAAAUCAAUGCAAUUCACCUCUGAGAGCAGAACUUGCCAGGGCUGAGCUUUCAUGAUUAUCUGUGCUCCUUGGUGGAUAUUUUUGAAGUAUACACCAAAGACUAGGUGCUCAUGCACAAACCAGUGUUUCAACAACAUCAUUCCCUUCAAAAUACUCUUAUACUAAAAUAUUUGGGAACCUCACUGUUUCUGCAUUUGGUUUUGAUUUCAUUGUAUUUUCCACUUUGAUGGUAAUUAAAUAGAAUUACUAGGUACGAAGUAGUGUUACUGUUUUCUAGUUACUGGGUUAGAUCAGUCAAGUAAGGAACCGUCUGUGGGUGCCCAACUGUGCCAUGACUCAGGGGUCCUGGAGUGUGGUCCACUUUGUGGACAUUUUACAUGAUGACUAAAGCACUGAAGGGCACCCAGUUUCUGUCAGGUGCUGUAACCUAAAAUAUUACAUUUCUAGUACAUUCUCCAGUUAUUCUUGAGAAUAAGAAGAAAGGAAGGAAGACUAUGCUGGUCCAAGGCCAACAGAAAACUGUCCUGCACUAUGCUAACAGUUUUCAUGGGUGCAUCUAUAGCUGAAUAAUUUCCAAGGAUUUGUGCAAGUGUGUAAUACCACAAGCCACAUUAUGGUAUAUUCUCUCCAGGAUGAAUAAUUUUAUUAACCUCUUCUUUUUAUUUUGUUAAUUUAAGAAUGAAACAAAGCCAGGCAUUUUCCCUUGAUCUGCCUAGUUACAUACCCAAAUACUUGUUUACCACAAGUAGUUCCUUUAUAAUAAUAAUAAUAAUAAUAAUAAUAAUAAUAAUUAUGCAUAAUAAUUAUUAUUAAUUAUUAUUAUGCAUGCACGUGUGUAUAUGCAUAUGAUAUGUAUGUGUAGGGCAUCUGUGUACCACAGCGCACAUGUGGAUGUCAGAAAACAAUUUUGUGGAGUCAGUUUUCUCCUUCCACAUUUACACAUAUUCUGGGGAUUGAAUUCAGGUUAUCAGGCUUGUGUAGCAAAUGCCUCUACCCAUCUUGCUGGCCCCAGUAGUUAUUUAGUGAUCAUAUUUAAAUUACAUGAGUUAUUCUCAUUCUCCAGCUGGCAUUCCUCUUCUUAGUAACAUCUUAUUUAUACUUAAUGGUCACAAUGUUUUCUGAAUAUUCAUGAGGGAUUAUUAGAGACCUUUUAUUUUGUCUUCAUUUAUUUUCUUCAGCAUAAGUUCAGCCCUUCUUUGAAGGUCAUUUAUUGCUUGUAUUUCUGGAUCAUUCUCUUUCAUAUUACUUGGUUCGUUCAAUGCCAAGUGAUAUUUUUAUAUAAGUAGAAGAAUGUAGCAAUAUCCUUUGCAUGAUGGUAAGUUGGCUAGGAGCUGACCAUCACACAGGGAGGUCAGAAGGCAACAAAGCCAGUUUCUCCCACUUCAGAAUUUUCCCCAGACAAGAGGCUCUUCUUUUUUUUGGAAAUAAAAACUCUGGUUUUGGUUUUUGUUUGUUUGUUUUUUAACUUAGAAAAUGAAGGCUUGGCUUCUGAUGAUUCUUUCUAUAUGAGGGUGGGCAGGGGAGAGAAGGAGGACCUGAGCUGAGCUGAAGAGACUUCAGUGCUCAAAUCUCAUGUGCAUGCUGUCUGCGAAGCUCUCCUUCCCAGUCCCUCUUCUCCAACCCUGAUGAAUCAGAGCCAGCUUGUCUCGGGGGCCCGUCGGUUGAGCCAGAAGACCACUCUGCAUCUCAGGCCCUGACCAUCUAUUUGCUUUAAUGCCUCGACCAUCAUCCAUCUGCCUUCCCUGUUCUAAAGUUGGUUGAAAUUUCUCCCACUCAUUAGUGCUCUGAUACUGGCCUGGGUUUUUCCCCUUUGGCAUUACUGUCCAAAUAAUUUGCUUUCCCAAAACACAAAGUGAGAACUCUGUGUUUUUAAUUCAUUUAUAUAAAAGUUUCCUAGAAUGAAAGAACUAAUACAUUAAAAUUCAUGUGUGAUUUAGACACUUCCUUUUGCUUUGACUCAUUUUGAUAAAAAGAUAGUUCUAAAUUUUAUGUAGUUAUCUCUCAGUCUUUCCUAUAUUUCUAUUCUGUUACAUUUUUGAAAAAUUCUAGUUAUUUUAGGUGUUUGCUAUUGGAUUAUUACAGAUUCAUUUGUAUUGUUUAGGAUUUUUUCAGUGAUAUUGUCCAUUAAAUAUAUUUUGGUAUCGGAGAAUUCCCAAAAGAAAAUUCUUUUUGGUAAAAGUCUUUUCUCUAAACAAGAACUUAUGAUAUAUUUUAACUUAUGAAAAUAAGGAAGUUUUCACUUGAUUUCUUAUUUCCCUAGCCCUGCAUUUAAGGAUAUCUUUGGUUUAUGGAAGAUAAAUUUAAAAGUUCUGAUAUAUAAUGUAAAAUGAGUAAUAAAAUAGAUCUGAUACAUCACUUCCUAAAUAAUUAUAUUAAAAACCAAUUAUUGUUGUUUUUAUCCCCACUGGAUGGACAAAUCUUUUAAAAUGUUAAUCUGUUACACAGUAUAGAUUUUAUCUUGGAAAUAUCUUGGUGUUUCAUUUAGCUGUCUAAUUUUAUGCCCCAAAUCUAAUGUUUUAAUUAAUUUUGAAUCAUAUGCUUAUAGUUAUACAAACUGAUGUUAUUAUUAUUUGGCUCAGAAUUUCAGUAGCAUAUUAUUUCAAGGGGUAUUGGGAAAAAUUAUAAUCUUUGGAGGUGUUAUGAUUUCUCACUAUUUUGGAAUUCUGAGCCAUUAAUUUUGUUUUGAUUCUCUAAUACUGUAGUUAUUUUAGCCAAGUUGUCCCGACUUGAUGCAUAUGGAUAAAUAGCAUUAUGUUAAGUAUCUUAGCAUAAUUGUGAGUCUGUCAAUAUCUUUGUGGUGUUUUAAUUUUUUCCCUUUUAACUAUUUUGCUGUUUUGUCUCUGUUACUUGGCACUUAGUAUCAGUUCCCAUGUGAGGACUGGCCUGGGGUAGGCCGGAACAGGCUAUGGAGCCAUCCAGGCGGUUCUUAGGAAGACAGAUUGUUUUUUUGUUUGUUUGUUUGUUUGUUUGUUUUUGGGUUUUUUUUGUUUUUUGUUUUUUGUUUUUUUUUGGUUUUUCAAGACAGGGUUUCUCUGUGUAGCUUUGCGCCUUUCCUGGAACUCACUUGAUUGUGAGAUGAAGACCUGGGAGAUUAUUUGAUGAGGAGAGGCUGGAAGUGCCCCAAACCCUGUAGAUGCCAAGGCUGUCAUAAAAAGGGAGGUUAGUGCCAGGUAGUUAAAGACAAAAGACAUAGGAUUGAUGAGAAUGGGGCCAGAAGACUAAGUGGCCAGCAUGGAAGCUGGUAUGUAUUUUGACCAGUCAUGUGACUAGCCUUCAGCAAUACCAAAAGAGAAACCACGGUGGGAAUGACUUUGUCCUUGCUUGUCUGGGGUGAUGUCACAUAACUGAGGUAGCUUAUAUAAAAGUUGAGGGUUCCAAGGAAGAAAUCUUUCUUACCGAAUCUAAUGAGAGCCAGGAAGUUCUGAAGCGGAAGAGCUCUUGCCUCCUGUGUGCAGUGCUUUCUCAAGGACCUUCUGAAGACCAAAGCUCAUUUUUUAAAACCCCUGGUUUACAUGCAUCCCAUGCUUUGUACACUUCACAUGUAUGCACAGGUUUUUGCAGCAUUUUUCUUUAAAAUAAUAUUCCACCACAGAUCCCCACACUCCGGUGGAUGGUCCCACACACAUGCAUGUAAGGGCAACACUAACUGGACUUAGUGGAUUAUAAAAACAAACAAACAACAACAACAAAACCUAGGAAGUUGCUUUUGACCAAGCAGGUCCCAGCAGUAGCAUCCCUUAUUGGUGAGCAGAUGUCUCCAACCUUGUGUCUCCACCCAGCUUUGUGCUCAGCUACGAACUGCCUUUGUGUCCUGGUUUGCUGUAGCUUAACUAGUCAGUGCACAAGGAAAGCCAAUAACCUCCACAAAACAUGGUCAAGCUUAGCACAUUUCAUUUCUAAUUCUAUAGUUAAUUUCAGAAUCAUUUUACUGCUUUGCUGACAUGACAGCAUUUGACUAAUUUUUCUUUCAAAGAACUAGUAAACCUUAAUUUCCUACAGAAGCAUUGAAUGGAUUUCUGUCUCUUUCCACUGACUUUCAACUCAUGUAAUUUAAAAGCUAAAUGUGAACUGUAAAACUCAAUCAAUUUGGUAGUAUUCUUUUAAUAUCAAUUUUUAUAUAAUUAGCCCCCAAACUGUGUUCAAUUACUAACAAUUAAUCCUAUGCACUUACAGGACAACACUAAUUUCACACUUAGCAGCAUUUAAAAGGAAGGUGGUGUGGAUCCCACAGAGGAAAAGUCCUCCCCUAAGGAGCUAAGCUUUGUUACACAGAGUAGACGAUGAAAGUGUUUUCCAUCACAAUCCACUAUAGGGGCCCAUGUUUCCCUCAGCAAACACACAAGCAGAAUCAUACAUUCUUUAGUUACAGCUUUCAGUGGGAUGGCCAGCCUCUUAAAACAGAUUCUGGAUUUUAUGUUUUCUUUUGACAGUCUUCUUGAGUUAGUAUUUUUAUCAAUGCUGUAUACUUAACUGUUCUACUGAGGCUGGCUGUGAGAAGCCAGACAAUGGAACCAUAACAGGACAAAGACUGAGAACGACAGUCAAAGGCAGAAAAUUGUGCAAAACUCGUUACGAAAAAAUUCCCCUUAGAAAUCAGGAAAAGCUGGCUCGCAAGUACACUCAGUAGUUGAGAAUGCUUGCUGCUCAAGCAUAUGGACCUGAAUUCAGAUGUCCAGCAUACUCAUAAAAAGAUGCACACAACCAUGCAGCUUUUUUUAAACUCUGGUGUUGUGGGGGGAGAUGUACAGGGACAAGAGCAUCCCUGGGGUGUGCUGACAGCCAGUCUAGCAUUUAAGGUGAGUUCUGGGUUUGAUGAGAGACCUUCUCAAGGGAAUAAGGAGGAAGAAUAAUAGGGCAGGGUACCCAAUAGCCUCCUCCAGCCUCCCCAUCCAUGUAUGCAUAUGCCAUGCAUUAACUUCCAAUAUAAAAUAAAAAUUAAAUACAAAUUAAAUCAAGAAAUAUUAAAAUUAGGACAAAUUUAGUGCAUUUAAGAUAUAACAGUGUUAUAGCACUUGCCUAAUAUUCACAAAGUGCUGGGUUCAUGUGGUGAUAUAUUGUGUACCCUAAUAAACUUAUCUGGGGAUAAAGGACAGAGCCAUCCACUAAAGUAGACAUAGAGGCCAGACAGUGGUGGCACACACCCUUAAUCCUAUCACUUGAGUCAGAGACCUAUCUGGAUCUCUGUGAGUUCAAGACCACACUGGAAACAGAGCCAGGCAGUGGUGGCACACACCUUUAAUGCCAGUACUGGGAAAGCACGCAUGCUUUUAAUCCCAGGAAGUGAUGGUAGGGUGGAGAAAGAUGUAUAAGGUGUGAGGAAACAGGAGCUAAAGCAGUUCAGCUGAGAUCCUUUUGGGUGAGGACUCAGAGGCUUUCAGUCUGAGGAAACAGGAUCAGCUGAGGAGUUGGCAAGGUGAGGUGGGCUAUGGCUUGCUCUGUUUCUCUGAUCUUUCAGCUUUCACCCCACUCUUGGGGUUUUUAUUAAAAGACCAUCUAGGAUUCGAACAACAUCUGGCAUCCAACUUGUGGGGCACGAAUUCAUGAAAAAGCCAUUUACCUGGGGCUUAGGCCAGAGCUAUAUAUGGCCGGAAUCUCUACCCUGCCUGGGCUGGGAGUCCCUAAUACACUGGCAGCAGACUCCCCAGGCUCAAGCUUCAAACACCCCAGAAUUAGCUGUUUUCACACGUUCCCCAAUGCAGAAAGCUGGCUUUUUGGCUUCUUUCCUCUCCUGGUGGGUUCUGGAUUUCCUUGGGCUCCGUCCUCAGGCUGCUGCCACCAUCAUCUGAAUCAUCAUUAUCAGCAGAUUUGGUGAGUCAAUUAAGAUUUCUUAAAGGGAGGAAUUAGUUAAAAGAAAGCUUUUUCCCACAUUAAAAAAUGGGAAACAUUUUUACAAUAGAGUGAAUUGGGUUUCUGUUUGAUAAUACAAUUGAUGGUCUAAAAAUGUAACAGUUAAAUGAGAGAAUAAUUAAUGUGGAUGGGAUUUAUGUAAUGUCAAUCAUAAAUAUUAUUUGUUUGAUCAUUUUUGUUUUAUAAUGAAAAAAGUUGGUUAAUAUGAGUGCCAAGAUAAAAAUUUUAGAAAAACUUGUUAAAACAGAUCAUAGAGAAAUUCAGACCCAGACAGAGGAAUUUAAAUGUGAACCAAUCUCAUCAUUGGCUACAGAGAAACAGCCUAAGGCUUUCAAACAGACAACCUUAAUCUAUCCAGUAACCUUACAAGAACUGCCAAAUGCUCAAGGCUGUGUAUAAAUAACUGGACUCCUAUGCAAAUGUUAGAUUUGAGGAGAUUUAAAGAUGCUAUAGUGUCAUAUGGUAUGCAUUCCCCAUUUGUGAAGCAGAUGUUAAACUCAUGGUCAAUUUGCAAUAGAAUUAUCCCUCAAGACUGGAGAGAGUUGGUUACAGAUAUUUUAGAAGCUGGUCCACAAUUACAAUGGAGGACCUGGUGGAAGGAUGAGGCUAAGACCAUUAAACGAUGGAGCAGGGCUAAAGGUAUGGAAAUCCUCCAAGAUCAACUUCUUGGAGAAUAAGAUUAUGCUAAUGUAGAAAGGCAAUCUCCAUAUGAUGACCACACCCUAGCUUUAUGCCAGAUGGCAGCCUUAAAUGCUUGGGAAAGAAUUAAAGAAGUAGGAAAGAAAAUUGAGUCAUUUAUAAAAGUUAUACAUGGCCCAAAAGAAACCUUCACUGAUUUCUUACAAAGGCUGUUUUCAGCAGUAAAUAGAAUGAUGCCAAAUUCAGAAGCUAAACAGAUAUAAUUGAAUCUCUGACUUUUGAAAAUGCUAAUGCACAAUUCAAAAUGUGUAAUUAGGCCGUUAAAAGCAAGAUCAACACUCUUGGAGAAAUGGAUCCGAGAUACAUUGAAUCUCAUGACCAUGAUGAUACUUGGAUAGUAGAGGUGAUAUCUAGAGGUUUGAAGAAAAAUAGUAAUAUCAGAUGUUUCAAAUGUGGUAAACAAGGUCACCUAAAAAGGGACUGUAAACAGGGCAUCCCUAGAAACAAUGUUUAUUCAAGGAACAAUGGCAACAGAAUGCUGCUCCCUUCUGGAUUAUGCAGAAGGUGUGGCAAAGGCAAAUAUUGGACUAAUGAAUGUAGAUCAACAAGAAACAGACAAGGUAAUCAUUUUCCUUUGCCACCAGGAAACUUCCUGAGGGGCCUCUCACAGGCCCCCAUUACAAAUUAUGUUCAGUCCUUUCCUGUCACCAUGGAAGAAAAUCCUUCACAGAGCAAUUAAAGAACCUAAUGCCUGUUGUAAAAAACUAUACUGCUCUGAAUGAUAGAACAGCUAAGAGAAGAGAAAACAAAAAAUUCAGAAGAAACCAUAAAUCAAAAUUGAUAAAGAUAAGAUUUGGAACUCCCCCCAAUGUUAUGGUUGGGGAAAGGUUUUGUUUUUGUCUUUCAGGGAAAUAAAGGCAUCCAGCUAAGGAAUCUGAAAAACACUGGACAAAUGAGACAUCUGAAGAAAAAGGAUGAAUCAUCCAGAAAAAAAUGUCCCACAAAAAAGAUUUUCUACAGUGAACCAUGACCACGUCUAACAGUGACUUUGAAGUUUCCCAAAAGAUGAUGGGACCCCAUAACAAUGAUUCCAUCAGGAUAAUACCACUAAGCUGACAAAUACCACCCAAAGAUAGGCAUUGGACUACAAUUGCUCAGGACAAUGGCUAGCUGAGAUGAUCCAGCUUCACAGACUACUCAAGCAAGGACUUGAGACAAGCCCUGCACUUUCCCAUUAAGCAGAGACUAUACAAAUGAUGCAGCAACUCUCCCAGGACUUGACAAUUAAACCAAAAAUUUUCUUUUCAGGAUUCCCUAAAGAUGCCUUUGCCCCCAGACAGCAGGAAGUAAUUUUAAGAACAUGAAGCCCACAUUCCCAAGAGGUGGGGUGGGUGGUAUUUGGUCAUUCAAUGGGUUAUGGGUAAUUAUCGUUGUUUAGGGUGUUUAAUUACAAAGGAAAUUAGAUUAAGUGUUCUUGUUUGAAAAAAGAAAGGAAGAAAGAAAGAAAAAGAAAGGAAGGAAGGAAGAAAGAAAGAAUAAAAGAAAGAAAGAAAAAAGAGGCUAUAGAUAAGAUGUAGAUUAUUGAAUAUACUCUGAAAAAAAUAAAGAUAUAGAAAUGAUGAAUAAAGGGUAGAUUAUUGAAUCUACUCUGAAAAGGAAAAAAGAGGAUAUAGAUAUGAUAAGAUAAAAGGUAGAUUAUUGAAUUUACUCUGAAAAAAAGAGAAUACAACCAUAAUAAGAUAAAAGUGUAGAUUAUUAAAUCUACUUUUAAAAUGCAACUACUAGUUUUAAAUAUUUUACAUUGGAUUUUUAUAUAUUGUAUAUAAAUUAUGUAUAUUGAUACAAAUUUGAAAUGAAUUUUGUUAGAAAAUAGUGUACUUAUAUUUCUAAUCUUGUUCAAGGUAUUGUACCUAUAUAGCUCAUUUAACAAUCUAAUGCAAAUUGCUAGUCCUUGAAAGUUAUUAUUACCAACUAAUUAGAAUAUAAAAAAUUACAAGUUAGUAUUUAGUCAUCUAUUACAAUCGAAUUUGUAGGCAUAUUAGGUAUGUUUUCAAGGUCAAACAGAAAUAUAUUUUAGAUAAACAGGUCAUCUUCACACACUUCAGAGAUCUACAGAAUAUGACAUUUAAGAUGUUUUAAUAACAGAUAUUUUCUUUUUUUUAUGACUAUGAGAUGUGUCUGCUCCUGGCAGCACCAAUCCACUUCAGAGAAGCUGAUGGGCACUGAAGAAACUCCAUAUGGAGUUUACUUUCAUUGUGGCAAAAGCUAGCCACUGGGCAAGAAAGUGCCCUUGCCUGAACUGUAGGACACAAAAGAAAGGACUGCUGAACCUUGCCAAGACAAGAUAGGAAGGCCCUUCAGAAAAUUCUGCUUCACAGAUGAGUCUGUCAGAUAUGCUAAGCCUGUAGGCUGAAGAUGGAUACCCCAAUGUUACAGAUAAAUCUUGGGUGACCGUCCAGGCAGCCAGCUUUUUCUGUCAUUUCUCACAUUUUUUGAAAGUCGCUUAUUUGCACUUCCUGCAUGCUUAGGUAGUAUUAUUUCCUUAUUGGGUCUCUGAGGGAGCUGAAGAUUAGAUAGUUAUAGUUUUCUUUGUUAACAAAUUCAGAAAAGAAACUCACUAAAGAGGUGUAAAGUGUAUAAGUUUGAAAGACAUCAAAAGAUAGUUUUUGGUUGGUAAUACAAGUUAGGACAGAAAGUGAAUUAGGUACAACAUUUUGGACUCACCAAAAUAGAAUAAUUAAUGGAGUUUUUUGUUUGAAUUUGUCAAAUGUUAAUGGACUGGACAUUGUUAAUAUAAAUCUUGACAGUACUUAUUGUAUAUACUUGUACUUAUUGUAUGUAGUUUUUCUUAUAUUAAUUAUAACCUUCUUUUAUUCUUUUAGACACAAAAGGGGAAAUUGAUAUAUUAUGUACCUCAAUAUAUUGUGUACCCUAAUAAACUUGCCUGAGGAUCAGAGGACAGAGCCAACCACCAGAUUAGACAUAGAGGCAAGACAGUGGUGGCACACACCCUUAAUCCUAUCACUUGAGUCAGAGACCCAUCUGGAUUUCUGUGAGUUCAAGGCCACACUGGAAACAGAGCCAGGCAGUGGUGGCACACACCUUUAAUUCCAGUACUAGGAAGCACAUAUGCCUUUAAUCCCAGGAACUGAUGGUAGGGCAGAGAAAGAUAUAUAAGGCGUGAGGAAACAGGAACUGAAGCAGUUCAUCUGAGAGGCUUUCAGUCUGAGGAAACAGGAUCAGCUGAGGAGUUUGUGAGGUGAGGUAGGCCGUGGCUUGCUCUGUUUCUCUGAUCUUUCAGCUUUCACCCCAGUAUCUGGCUCCAUUUUUUUGUUAAAAGACCAUCUAAGAUUCAAACAACAGGUUCAUCAUCCACCUUCCCCACAAGGACUGAACUAAUACAUUUAGUCCAUAUCUGAUGCAAACAUAUAAUAAUGCUACAUGGUUUUUCUAAUGUAGACCAGGCUACCCUUGAACUCAUAGAGAUUUAUCUGCCUGCCUCUACCUCCCACAUGCUAUGAUUAAAGGCGUGUGCUAUCACACCCAGGUAUUUUACCUUUCUAAUAGUAGCAAUGUCCAAAUGACAAAUAAAUUUUGUUAUUUUUACUGAUCAGUAUGUACCUAAGUACUUUCUCCUGACAUGUGGUGUGUGAAGAUAACAUCAUCACAUCUGAAUCCUAUAAUGAUAAUUUUCACCUGAAAUAUUAAAAGGUAUCCCAAUAAUUCAAGAUCAAAUACAAUGAAUAAGCACAGGUUUGAAUUGUCAUCUUGUGCCAAAAAUGAAAGGCACACAUAUCGAACUGUGUGCCUGGUGCUCAUGAAAAGAUGCACAUACUUUUGUGCACUUCGGUAUUUCACAGCUUGGGCCCUUUAGGUGCUUCCUGUUAGUAACUGGUUGAUGAGGACCUGUAGUCAAAUUUAAUAUUUUGUAAUUCAUAUUAAGAUAUGCAAAUUGUGAGCAUAUUAUACAUUUUUUAAAUUGUAGGAACAAUUUAUAGUACAAAGUGGUAUUGCUCAAGGGCCCGAACAGUGACCUAGGAGCACAGAGUUCUGUAUGUUAAUUUUGAUUGUCAGUGUGACCACAUGUAUAGCAUCCUACUCUCCUUUUAUUUUCCAUUAUCCCUUUCUAACAUGAGUACAGCAACUUUCUUGAAUAGUUGGAAAUGAGUUCAUGAAUAACGGAGAGUGGCUAAAAUCAACACACACACACACACACACCAUUGUGAGACCGGUAAGAGUCCAAAAACUUUAUCGACAUUUUAGACAUUGUCACACUUUACAGACAUAAUGAUAAGAUUAAUUACCCACUGAGACGAGUAUAUGGAAGCCACCAUGUCUAAAUCUGGAAAGUUUAUUAAAGUACGUAUAACUUAAGAAAUGGGAUGUUUGUAACAGUUUUCAAAACUUCUAUCAGAAUUCAUCAUUAAAUGAACUUUACCUUU
Peromyscus californicus insignis is the source of this 13082-nucleotide long non-coding RNA. RefSeq lists it as uncharacterized. The transcript is spliced from 4 exons. NCBI's taxonomy places the organism in Eukaryota, Metazoa, Chordata, Mammalia, Rodentia, Cricetidae. The record is from RefSeq and is a predicted model, not a curated record.